Molecule: ribosomal RNA, 498 nt
Filed under: uncultured bacterium
Lineage: Bacteria
Description: bacterial SSU rRNA
Rfam family: Bacterial small subunit ribosomal RNA
Source: RNAcentral
GGACGAACGCUGGCGGCGUGCUUAACACAUGCAAGUCGAACGAGGAUUAGCGGAUUGAGAGUUCGACAGGAUUGAAGCUAAUUCGAGUGGCGGACGGGUGAGUAACGCGUGAGCAAUCUGUCCCAGACAGGGGGAUAACACUUGGAAACAGGUGCUAAUACCGCAUAAGACCACAGCAUCGCAUGGUGCAGGGGUAAAAAGGAGGAAUCCGGUUUGGGGUGAGUUCGCGUCCGAUUAGAUAGUUGGUGAGGUAACGGCCCACCAAGUCGACGAUCGGUAGCCGACCUGAGAGGGUGAUCGGCCACAUUGGAACUGAGAGACGGUCCAAACUCCUACGGGAGGCAGCAGUGGGGAAUAUUGGGCAAUGGGCGAAAGCCCUGACCCAGCAACGCCGCGUGAGUGAUGAAGGCCUUCGGGUUGUAAAGCUCUGUUAUAGGGGACGAAGGAAGUGACGGUACCCUAUAAGGAAGCCCCGGCUAACUACGUGCCAGCCGCCGC